Molecule: long non-coding RNA, 353 nt
Filed under: Elaeis guineensis (African oil palm)
Lineage: Eukaryota; Viridiplantae; Streptophyta; Magnoliopsida; Arecales; Arecaceae
Description: long non-coding RNA (EGUI_LNC044327)
Source: RNAcentral
CUCAAAAAAAUUUUAUGCAUAGUACAACAAACUCCAGUGAGUUCAAAGAUAGAAAAAUCUAUUCAAUUGCAUUCUCUUGCAACUCUCAAUAUAACAUAUUUUUAAAAUAUUUAUAGUCUUGUGGAUAGCAUAACAAACUAUAAUAUUUUAGUUAAGUCAGAUCCUUUAUUUUCAUACAACCAUAUUUGAAAAUAAUAUUGCUCUUGUGGAUAGCAGAACAAAGCAAAAAAAAUUAAAUAUGCCAUAAGCAUUCUUAAUGCACCAAGAUAUUAUCAUAUUAGUCCUCAUGGUAAGCCUUGUGGAUAGCACAAUAAAUUUACUAUGGUUCUUGAAAUAAUAAUGAUCUUAGCAAG